This 756-nucleotide ribosomal RNA is filed under the name Salmonella enterica. RNAcentral describes it as "partial 23S ribosomal RNA". It matches the Rfam family "Bacterial large subunit ribosomal RNA", at positions 1 to 688 of the family's 2925-position model. The record is from RNAcentral. Lineage: Bacteria; Pseudomonadati; Pseudomonadota; Gammaproteobacteria; Enterobacterales; Enterobacteriaceae.
GGGUUGUGAGGUUAAGCGACUAAGCGUACACGGUGGAUGCCCUGGCAGUCAGAGGCGAUGAAGGACGUGCUAAUCUGCGAUAAGCGCCGGUAAGGUGAUAUGAACCGUUAUAACCGGCGAUUUCCGAAUGGGGAAACCCAGUGUGAUUCGUCACACUAUCAUUAACUGAAUCCAUAGGUUAAUGAGGCGAACCGGGGGAACUGAAACAUCUAAGUACCCCGAGGAAAAGAAAUCAACCGAGAUUCCCCCAGUAGCGGCGAGCGAACGGGGAGCAGCCCAGAGCCUGAAUCAGCAUGUGUGUUAGUGGAAGCGUCUGGAAAGGCGCGCGAUACAGGGUGACAGCCCCGUACACAAAAGCGCAUGUGCUGUGAGCUCGAUGAGUAGGGCGGGACACGUGGUAUCCUGUCUGAAUAUGGGGGGACCAUCCUCCAAGGCUAAAUACUCCUGACUGACCGAUAGUGAACCAGUACCGUGAGGGAAAGGCGAAAAGAACCCCGGCGAGGGGAGUGAAAAAGAACCUGAAACCGUGUACGUACAAGCAGUGGGAGCCCCACCACUAAGCCAGUGGUGAACUCCACAUACGCAUCCUUUGCUGAAGGCAAUGGUUAACGGAGCGAAAGCGACGUUCAACCUCAAAAAAAGCAGAGGGGGCUUAGUGGUGGGGUGACUGCGUACCUUUUGUAUAAUGGGUCAGCGACUUAUAUUCUGUAGCAAGGUUAACCGUAUAGGGGAGCCGUAGGGAAACCGAGUCUUAAC